RNAcentral lists this ribosomal RNA (253 nucleotides) under uncultured prokaryote. Its description in RNAcentral is "partial 16S ribosomal RNA". It matches the Rfam family "Bacterial small subunit ribosomal RNA", at positions 524 to 776 of the family's 1533-position model. The record is from RNAcentral.
GACGAACCGUACGAACGUUAUUCGGAAUCACUGGGCUUAAAGGGUGCGUAGGCUGUGCAGAAAGUUGGGUGUGAAAUACCUCGGCUUAACCGAGGAACAGCACUCAGUACUACUGUGCUCGAGGGAGACAGAGGUAAGCGGAACUUAGGGUGGAGCGGUGAAAUGCGUUGAUAUCCUAAGGAACACCGGUGGCGAAAGCGGCUUACUGGGUCUCUUCUGACGCUGAGGCACGAAAGCUAGGGUAGCGAACGGG